GGGAAUAGCUCAGUUGGUAGAGCGUCAGCCUUCCAAGCUGAGGGUCGCGGGUUCGAGUCCCGUUUCCC
RNAcentral lists this transfer RNA (68 nucleotides) under marine eukaryotic metagenome. It matches the Rfam family "tRNA". Rfam says of the family: Transfer RNA (tRNA) molecules are approximately 80 nucleotides in length. Their secondary structure includes four short double-helical elements and three loops (D, anti-codon, and T loops). The record is from RNAcentral.